RNAcentral lists this long non-coding RNA (308 nucleotides) under Coffea arabica (coffee). Its description in RNAcentral is "long non-coding RNA (CARA_LNC007875)". The record is from RNAcentral. Lineage: Eukaryota; Viridiplantae; Streptophyta; Magnoliopsida; Gentianales; Rubiaceae.
GGGAGUAUUAUUAUUAUUAUUAUUUUUUAUCUUGAUUUUCCUUCUUACACAUUGAGGACAAUGUGUAUGUUAAGUGUGGGGGGAGAAUUGAGAUUAUAUACAUUGUAUGUGAUUGAAUUAUUAGUUGCAAAUAUUGGACUUGUGUUAAAAUUCAAAAUUUUUCUAAAAUCUUGUCCAAAAUUGCAAACUUGCCCCAAAAAGUUUCAUAUUUUUUCGAUUUUAUCCAAGGGGUACCAAGUUCCAUACCAUUAGUAGUUCAAAUUCCUCCUACAUUUGAGAUAAAUAUAUGUGAUUUGGAAACUUCUUUU